GUUGGGAAAUUAUGACAAUGCAUAGAAAUUAAGAGCCUUCAUUAAGGACUCUUUAUUUCACAUGCCAAAAAUAAAGGGGUGGCAUUUAUUUUUUGCCAUGGGUUCUAGUGGGUAUAGAGGUGUCCUUAUUCACUUAAAAUUAUUUUAAGUUGGAUAAGGAUCCAAUUUAAAUUGACCCAAUCCCAUUAGGUCAAAGACAACUGGUCUAGG
Molecule: long non-coding RNA, 210 nt
Filed under: Elaeis guineensis (African oil palm)
Lineage: Eukaryota; Viridiplantae; Streptophyta; Magnoliopsida; Arecales; Arecaceae
Description: long non-coding RNA (EGUI_LNC082620)
Source: RNAcentral